GGUGUAGCGCAGUUGGUUAGCGCGCCUGCUUUGGGAGCAGGAGGUCACAAGUUCGAAUCCUGUUACC
Molecule: transfer RNA, 67 nt
Filed under: bovine gut metagenome
Rfam family: tRNA
About the family: Transfer RNA (tRNA) molecules are approximately 80 nucleotides in length.
Source: RNAcentral